AGUGAACGCUGGCGGCAGGCCUAACACAUGCAAGUCGAGCGGCAGCGCGUCCGACCACCCUCGGGUGGUCGGAUGGCGGCGAGCGGCGGACGGGUGAGGAAUGCAUCGGAAUCUGCCUCGUUGUGGGGGGAUAACGUAGGGAAACUUACGCUAAUACCGCAUACGACCUACGGGUGAAAGUGGGGGACCUUCGGGCCUCACGCGAUGAGAUGAGCCGAUGCCGGAUUAGCUAGUUGGCGGGGUAAAGGCCCACCAAGGCGACGAUCCGUAGUUGGUCUGAGAGGAUGAUCAGCCACACUGGGACUGAAACAAGGCCCAGACUUCCAUGGAGGGCAGCAGUGAGGAGUAUUGGACAAUGGGCGCAAGCUUGAUCCAGCAAUACCUAUUGGUGAUGACAGGAACACUAGUAAAACCUAUAGAGA
RNAcentral lists this ribosomal RNA (422 nucleotides) under uncultured bacterium. RNAcentral describes it as "bacterial SSU rRNA". It matches the Rfam family "Bacterial small subunit ribosomal RNA", at positions 29 to 440 of the family's 1533-position model. The record is from RNAcentral.